GUUUCUUUAGUAUUGUAGGUAUGUUUAAUUGCAAAUUAAAAGGUUUGAGAAAUUUU
This 56-nucleotide transfer RNA is filed under the name Mecistocirrus digitatus. RNAcentral's name for it is "tRNA-Cys". Lineage: Eukaryota; Metazoa; Nematoda; Chromadorea; Rhabditida; Trichostrongylidae. The record is from RNAcentral.